UAUCAUGACAAUAACAAAUAGUAGUAGUAACACGGAAAGAGAAUAGGACACUCGAUACAUUUUCAUUUUGUUGUUGUUUGUUUUGUUGUUGUUUGUUUUGUUGUUGUU
This 108-nucleotide non-coding RNA is filed under the name Fragilariopsis kerguelensis. The record is from RNAcentral. Lineage: Eukaryota; Bacillariophyta; Bacillariophyceae; Bacillariales; Bacillariaceae.